UGAAAUACUAAACACUACUUUCUGUCUAUGGAUUCUGUAAAAUUAUCAUGUAAAUGUUCUACCAAUUUGCUGUAUAUUUUUGUUGCCUUUUUGCUUUUUUUUUAUUAAUCUGUGCAAUACCUCAUUUAAUCUGUAAGGGUUUGUCAUAAUCCUCUGCAAAGCUACUCCCUGUGACUGUGUGCACGUUUACACCAGGAUGCUCACUUGAUUUGUGAGUGUUUUUCAUUCCAUCAACAAGGGAGUUUAAAUAUUAUAUGUGAGACUGACAAAAACCUUAAUGUAAUUUAGUUAUAAUGCCAGAAGGAAAACACUAUUUUCAUACCCUACUUUUUCUGUACCUAAAUUUUCUUAUUAAAAUCUAGUAUAGCACUACAUUCUUUUUUAAGUGAUGCAAACCUUAGUUUAUUUAGCCCCUUCUUUUUGAACACAUGCCACAUGAAUGUUGAAACUGAUACAUUGCACAGUUCUCUAGACUUCACUACACUGAUGCAAGUUCUCAAAUUUUAGCAAUAUGCUCUACGUAAAAUCACUACAGAGAUGCUAGUUGGGAAAAUGAGUAACACAUCUCUUACAGCAGUAUUGCCUGUUGUUGUACAGAUCUGGUAUUUGGAGGCUGGAAUCAUAAGGAGCCCUUGCAUCCCUAAUACUUGACUGAGGUUAUUUUUGUGUUAUAGCAAAUGUGGCAGGCUCUUUUUGGCAAAAAUUUUUAAAAAGUAUUUUUGGUAUUAUUCUGAAAGAAAAGAUGUUAAAGUUUAGGGGAUCUUAGAUAUAAUUCCAUACUACAUGAACUGAAGGAGGCUAUACAUUGUGGUGUUUGAUUAAUUUACUAUAAAAAAUUCAGAACAUAAAAAUGAGGUAGGAUUAAGUAUUUUUAUUUUGCAGUCUGUAUGGAUUGAGAUAAUUCAGAAAUACCAACCAUAGAAAUCUUAACUAGUUGGCUAAGGUAUACCCUGUAAUAGUGAAACUAUAAUAUGCUGGGUGUUUUUUUUUUAAUUUUGAUAAUUUCUCAAGGUUUUUGUCAAAUGUCAGGUGAAGGGUUACCUUUUUCUUAAAAGAUUGAUGGUCCCAAUGUCAAAUUUCUUGAAACACAAAACCCAAUGAUAGAUUUUUAAGAAGCAAAAAUAAAACUUUACAACCUGCAUAUCUGUUAUAUAUGCUACAUGAUGUGUUAAAAUUAGGGUUUCCUUGCCUCUCUACAGUACACUAGUCUGCCUAAGGGUGAUUGUUUCAUAUAUAUAGCAUUAAUUAUCAUACCUGCCUACUUUAAAUUUUAGGUAGAAAAAUGAUCUGAUUUAAAUAAAUACAGACACCUAUUUUUCUCACAUUGAGUCAUAUACAGAAUGUAGUUCCAAAUGUAUUUCAUUACUAUAGUCACAAUAUCUGACUAAAAAUUAAGCUCUCUAUAAUUGUACCGACCAAAAUCUAGUUAUUGGCAUGAUCUUGACAGGCUGGACCUGCAAGAUGUGGCUUGAAUUUUAACCAGUUAUCACAUAAUCUCUAGUGAUCAUGCAUCUAGUUAUCAUGAGAAAUAAUUUAAAAGGUUUUGUUGCUGAAAGCAGUAAGUGGUGCAGUACAAUAGUUAAGUUAUUCAGAGACUGUUACCUACCUUGCAGGAAUAAUUUAAGCUCAUGGGAAAGAUUCUAGACUUUUUGUUUCUUGCAAAAAAAACAGUGCCCUCUGCUGCUAAAAACCUUUUUCUGCUUACUUUUUUUUUUUUUAUUGUGGCUUAAUUUCUGUGGGUCUGGUGUGGAUGAGGCUGGACAACAACAACCAAUAAAAUUAGGAAUUUGUGCAAAUGGUAAAUAGAACGAUUGGAAACACAAUUCUAAACAUGUGAGAUGGGUAUAAAAUUUGCCAAUGGUAAUUGAGUUUAUUCUUUCUUCUUAAAGGACAAAAAAAAAAAGACUUUUGUUGUUGCACAAAGUCUAAAUUAAUAUUGGUUGAAACAC
RNAcentral lists this long non-coding RNA (1949 nucleotides) under Bos taurus (domestic cattle). Its description in RNAcentral is "long non-coding RNA NONBTAT020048". The record is from RNAcentral. Lineage: Eukaryota; Metazoa; Chordata; Mammalia; Artiodactyla; Bovidae.